Molecule: ribosomal RNA, 497 nt
Filed under: uncultured bacterium
Lineage: Bacteria
Description: partial 16S ribosomal RNA
Rfam family: Bacterial small subunit ribosomal RNA
Source: RNAcentral
GAUGAACGCUGGCGGCGUGCCUAAUACAUGCAAGUCGAGCGAACAGACGAGGAGCUUGCUCCUCUGACGUUAGCGGCGGACGGGUGAGUAACACGUGGAUAACCUACCUAUAAGACUGGGAUAACUUCGGGAAACCGGAGCUAAUACCGGAUAAUAUAUUGAACCGCAUGGUUCAAUAGUGAAAGACGGUUUUGCUGUCACUUAUAGAUGGAUCCGCGCCGCAUUAGCUAGUUGGUAAGGUAACGGCUUACCAAGGCAACGAUGCGUAGCCGACCUGAGAGGGUGAUCGGCCACACUGGAACUGAGACACGGUCCAGACUCCUACGGGAAGCAGCAGUAGGGAAUCUUCCGCAAUGGGCGAAAGCCUGACGGAGCAACGCCGCGUGAGUGAUGAAGGUCUUCGGAUCGUAAAACUCUGUUAUUAGGGAAGAACGAAUGUGUAAGUAACUAUGCACGUCUUGACGGUACCUAAUCAGAAAGCCACGGCUAACUACGUG